Non-coding RNA from Lupinus albus (white lupine), 108 nucleotides. The record is from the annotation of a GenBank genome assembly. Lineage: Eukaryota; Viridiplantae; Streptophyta; Magnoliopsida; Fabales; Fabaceae.
UGGAAGAAUCUGUAAAGCUCAGGAGGGAUAGCGCCAUUAUACCAACCAAUGAUUUAAUCAUAGCAGUAUAUUUGGCGCUGUCCAUCCUGAGUUUUCCGGCUUCUUCAU